Molecule: transfer RNA, 89 nt
Filed under: Candidatus Saccharibacteria bacterium QS_5_54_17
Lineage: Bacteria; Candidatus Saccharimonadota
Description: tRNA-Leu
Rfam family: tRNA
About the family: Transfer RNA (tRNA) molecules are approximately 80 nucleotides in length. Their secondary structure includes four short double-helical elements and three loops (D, anti-codon, and T loops). Further hydrogen bonds mediate the characteristic L-shaped molecular structure. tRNAs have two regions of fundamental functional importance: the anti-codon, which is responsible for specific mRNA codon recognition, and the 3' end, to which the tRNAs corresponding amino acid is attached (by aminoacyl-tRNA synthetases). tRNAs cope with the degeneracy of the genetic code in two manners: having more than one tRNA (with a specific anti-codon) for a particular amino acid; and 'wobble' base-pairing, i.e. permitting non-standard base-pairing at the 3rd anti-codon position.
Source: RNAcentral
GCCGCGGUGGCGGAAUCGGCAGACGCGCUAGUUUCAGGGACUAGUGGGUUUUUACACCCGUGGGAGUUCGAGUCUCCCCCGCGGCACCA